This 473-nucleotide ribosomal RNA is filed under the name uncultured soil bacterium. Its description in RNAcentral is "bacterial SSU rRNA". It matches the Rfam family "Bacterial small subunit ribosomal RNA", at positions 26 to 492 of the family's 1533-position model. The record is from RNAcentral.
AGAUUGAACGCUGGCGGCAGGCCUAACACAUGCAAGUCGAGCGGCAGCACGGGUACUUGUACCUGGUGGCGAGCGGCGGACGGGUGAGUAAUGCCUAGGAAUCUGCCUGAUAGUGGGGGGAUAACGUUCGGAAACGGACGCUAAUACCGCAUACGUCCUACGGGAGAAAGUGGGGGAUCUUCGGACCUCACGCUAUCAGAUGAGCCUAGGUCGGAUUAGCUAGUUGGUAGGGUAAAGGCCUACCAAGGCUACGAUCCGUAACUGGUCUGAGAGGAUGAUCAGUCACACUGGAACUGAGACACGGUCCAGACUCCGUACGGGAGCAGCGAGUGGGGAAUAUUGGACAAGUGGGACGAAAGCCUGAUCCAGCCAGUGCCGCGUGGUGUAGAAGGAAGGUCUUCGGAUUAGGUAAAGCUAACGUUUAAGUUAGGGAAGGAAGGUACAACGUUUAAACCGUAAUUACCGUUUAAGUU